AUACGUAGGUGGCAAGCGUUGUCCGGAUUUACUGGGUGUAAAGGGCGUGUAGGCGGAGAUGCAAGUCAGGAGUGAAAUCUAGGGGCUCAACCCCUAAACUGCUUUUGAAACUGUAUCCCUUGAGUAUCGGAGAGGCAGGCGGAAUUCCUAGUGUAGCGGUGAAAUGCGUAGAUAUUAGGAGGAACACCAGUGGCGAAGGCGGCCUGCUGGAUGACAACUGACGCUGAGGCGCGAAAGCGUGGGGAGAAAACAGGAUGAGAUACCCUGGUAGUCCACGCUGUAAACGAUGAAUACUAGGUGUGGGGGGACUGACCCCCUCCGUGCCGCAGUUAACACAAUAAGUAUUCCACCUGGGGAGUACGAUCGCAAGAUUGAAACUCAAAUGAAUUGGCGGGGG
RNAcentral lists this ribosomal RNA (397 nucleotides) under uncultured bacterium. Its description in RNAcentral is "partial 16S ribosomal RNA". It matches the Rfam family "Bacterial small subunit ribosomal RNA", at positions 523 to 919 of the family's 1533-position model. The record is from RNAcentral.